Molecule: ribosomal RNA, 484 nt
Filed under: uncultured bacterium
Lineage: Bacteria
Description: partial 16S ribosomal RNA
Rfam family: Bacterial small subunit ribosomal RNA
Source: RNAcentral
AUUGAACGCUGGCGGCAUGCCUUACACAUGCAAGUCGAACGGCAGCACGGACUUCGGUCUGGUGGCGAGUGGCGAACGGGUGAGUAAUGUAUCGGAACGUACCUUUCAGUGGGGGAUAACGUAGCGAAAGUUACGCUAAUACCGCAUAUUCUGUGAGCAGGAAAGCAGGGGAUCGAAAGACCUUGCGCUGAUUGAGCGGCCGAUAUCAGAUUAGCUAGUUGGUGGGGUAUAGGCCUACCAAGGCGACGAUCUGUAGCGGGUCUGAGAGGAUGAUCCGCCACACUGGAACUGAGACACGGUCCAGACUCCUACGGGAGGCAGCAGUGGGGAAUUUUGGACAAUGGGGGCAACCCUGAUCCAGCCAUGCCGCGUGAGUGAAGAAGGCCUUCGGGUUGUAAAGCUCUUUCGGCCGGGAAGAAAUCGCAUAGGCUAAUACCCUGUGUGGAUGACGGUACCGGAAUAAGAAGCACCGGCUAACUACGUG